Molecule: ribosomal RNA, 274 nt
Filed under: uncultured bacterium
Lineage: Bacteria
Description: partial 16S ribosomal RNA
Rfam family: Bacterial small subunit ribosomal RNA
Source: RNAcentral
AUACGAAGGGGGCUAGCGUUGUUCGGAAUUACUGGGCGUAAAGCGCGCGUAGGCGGAUUGGUCAGUUAGGGGUGAAAUCCCAGGGCUUAACCCUGGAACUGCCUCUAAUACUGCCAGUCUUGAGUUCGGGAGAGGUGAGUGGAAUUCCUAGUGUAGAGGUGAAAUUCGUAGAUAUUAGGAAGAACACCAGUGGCGAAGGCGGCUCACUGGCCCGAUACUGACGCUGAGGCGCGAGAGCGUGGGGAGCAAACAGGAUUAGAAACCCUAGUAGUCC